Molecule: ribosomal RNA, 192 nt
Filed under: uncultured bacterium
Lineage: Bacteria
Description: partial 16S ribosomal RNA
Rfam family: Bacterial small subunit ribosomal RNA
Source: RNAcentral
ACGCUCGACACCUACGGGAGACAGCAGUGGGGAAUAUUGCACAAUGGGGGAAACCCUGAUGCAGCGACGCCGCGUGGAGGAAGAAGGUCUUCGGAUUGUAAACUCCUGUUGUUGGGGAAAAAGAGGAUGAUACCCAACAAGGAAGUGACGGCUAACUACGUGCCGNNCGCNAUACUGAGNGGCGUGCGAGAG